GACGAACGCUGGCGGCGUGCUUAACACAUGCAAGUCGAACGGAAAGGCCCUGCUUUUGUGGGGUGCUCGAGUGGCGAACGGGUGAGUAACACGUGAGUAACCUGCCCUUGACUUUGGGAUAACUUCAGGAAACUGGGGCUAAUACCGGAUAGGAGCUCCUGCUGCAUGGUGGGGGUUGGAAAGUUUCGGCGGUUGGGGAUGGACUCGCGGCUUAUCAGCUUGUGGGUGGGGUAGUGGCUUACCAAGGCUUUGACGGGUAGCCGGCCUGAGAGGGUGAGCGGCCACAUUGGGACUGAGAUACGGCCCAGACUCCUACGGGAGGCAGCAGUGGGGAAUAGUGCACAAUGGGCGGAAGCCUGAUGCAGCAACGCCGCGUGCGGGAUGACGGCCUUCGGGUUGUAAACCGCUUUCGCCUGGGACGAAGCGUGAGUGACGGUAAUGGGUAAAGAAGCACCGGCUAACUACGUG
Molecule: ribosomal RNA, 468 nt
Filed under: uncultured bacterium
Lineage: Bacteria
Description: partial 16S ribosomal RNA
Rfam family: Bacterial small subunit ribosomal RNA
Source: RNAcentral